AGUGACGGACGGNUGAGUAACGCGUGGGAAUCUACCCUUUAGUUGGGGACAACAUAUGGAAACGUAUGCUAAUACCGAAUAUGCUCUACGGAGUAAAGGUGCCCUCUCCUUGGAAGGUAUCGCUAAAGGAUGAGCCCGCGUUAGAUUAGCUAGUUGGUAAGGUAAAGGCUUACCAAGGCGACGAUCUAUAGCUGGUUUGAGAGGAUGAUCAGCCACACUGGGACUGAGACACGGCCCAGACUCCUACNGGAGGCAACAGUGGGGAAUAUUGCACAAUGAGGGAAACCUUGGUGCAGCCAUGCCGCGUGUGUGAAGAAGGCCCGAGGGUUGUAAAGCACUUUCAAUUGUGAGGAAGAUUAAGUAGCUAAUACCUGCUUAGUUUGACGUUAACUUUAGAAGAAGCACCGGCUAACUCUGUGCCAGCAGCCGCGGUAAUACAGAGGGUGCAAGCGUUAUUCGGAAUUACUGGGCGUAAAGCGCGCGUAGGCGGACUGUUAAGUCGGUUGUGAAAGCCCUGGGCUCAACCUAGGAACUGCAUCCGAUACUGGCAAUCUAGAGUUUAAGAGAGGGAAGU
RNAcentral lists this ribosomal RNA (574 nucleotides) under uncultured bacterium. RNAcentral describes it as "bacterial SSU rRNA". It matches the Rfam family "Bacterial small subunit ribosomal RNA", at positions 94 to 662 of the family's 1533-position model. The record is from RNAcentral.